UCUAAUGUGGCAGAAAAAUGCAAUAAGCUUAAGACUUAUAAAUAAAGAAUAAUCUUUCAUUAGAA
RNAcentral lists this transfer RNA (65 nucleotides) under Mystilus priamus. RNAcentral's name for it is "tRNA-Leu". The record is from RNAcentral. Lineage: Eukaryota; Metazoa; Arthropoda; Insecta; Hemiptera; Miridae.